GUCUUUACGAAGUUAUAUCAAGUCUAACCUGCCCAGUGAAAAUUUUCAACGGCCGCGGUUUAAUCGUGCAAAGGUAGCAUAAUCAUUAGUAUUUUAAUUGAAGGCUAGAAUGAAAGGUUGGACAAAAAACCAGCUGUCUUUUAUUUAAUCUUGAAUUUGUUUUUUAAGUGAAAAAACUUAAAUAAUUUUAAGGGACGAUAAGACCCUAUAAAUCUUUAUAUAAACUAUUUUAUAAUUUUAAUUUAUUAUGUGAAUAAAAUAUAAAAAAAGUAUAUUUUGUUGGGGUGACAAAAAUAAACAAGUAACUGUUUUAUAAUUUAAUCAAUAAUUUUUGAAUAUUUUAAGACCCUUUUUAAAGAUCAAAAAAUUAAGUUACUUUAGGGAUAACAGCGUUAUUUUUUUUGAGAGCCCUAAUCGAAAAAAAAGUUUACGACCUCGAUGUUGAAUUAAAAUUUCUUUAUAAUGCAGAAGUUAUAAAAAGAAAGUCUGUUCGACUUUUAAAAUUUU
RNAcentral lists this ribosomal RNA (507 nucleotides) under Coralliogalathea joae. RNAcentral's name for it is "partial 16S ribosomal RNA". It matches the Rfam family "Bacterial large subunit ribosomal RNA", at positions 1831 to 2597 of the family's 2925-position model. Lineage: Eukaryota; Metazoa; Arthropoda; Malacostraca; Decapoda; Galatheidae. The record is from RNAcentral.